CGAGCGGCGAACGGGUGAGUAACACGUGGGUGAUCUGCCUUGCACUUCGGGAUAAGCCUGGGAAACUGGGUCUAAUACCGGAUAUGACCUUCCAGUGCAUGCUGGUUGGUGGAAAGAUUUAUCGGUGCGAGAUGGGCCCGCGGCCUAUCAGCUUGUUGGUGAGGUAACGGCUCACCAAGGCGACGACGGGUAGCCGACCUGAGAGGGUGACCGGCCACACUGGGACUGAGACACGGCCCAGACUCCUACGGGAGGCAGCAGUGGGGAAUAUUGCACAAUGGGCGAAAGCCUGAUGCAGCGACGCCGCGUGCGGGAUGACGGCCUUCGGGUUGUAAACCGCUUUUGACAGGGACGAAGCGCAAGUGACUGUACCUGUAGAAUAAGGACCGGCCAACUACGUGCCAGCAGCCGCGGUAAUACGUAGGGUCCGAGCGUUGUCCGGAAUUACUGGGCGUAAAGAGCUUGUAGGCGGUUCGUCGCGUCGUUUGUGAAAACUUGGGGCUCAACCUUAAGCUUGCAGGCGAUACGGGCGGACUAGAGUACUUCAGGGGAGACUGGAAUUCCUGGUGUAGCGGUGAAAUGCGCAGAUAUCAGGAGGAACACCGGUGGCGAAGGCGGGUCUCUGGGAAGUAACUGACGCUGAGAAGCGAAAGCAUGGGUAGCAAACAGGAUUAGAUACCCUGGUAGUCCAUGCCGUAAACGGUGGGUACUAGGUGUGGGGCUCCUUCCACGGACUCCGUGCCGUAGCUAACGCAUUAAGUACCCCGCCUGGGGAGUACGGCCGCAAGGCUAAAACUCAAAGAAAUUGACGGGGGCCCGCACAAGCGGCGGAGCAUGUGGAUUAAUUCGAUGCAACGCGAAGAACCUUACCUGGGUUUGACAUACACCAGAAAGCCGUAGAGAUACGGCCCCCCUUGUGGUUGGUGUACAGGUGGUGCAUGGCUGUCGUCAGCUCGUGUCGUGAGAUGUUGGGUUAAGUCCCGCAACGAGCGCAACCCUUAUCUUAUGUUGCCAGCGCGUAAUGGCGGGGACUCGUGAGAGACUGCCGGGGUCAACUCGGAGGAAGGUGGGGACGACGUCAAGUCAUCAUGCCCCUUAUGUCCAGGGCUUCACACAUGCUACAAUGGCCGGUACAGAGGGCUGCGAUACCGUGAGGUGGAGCGAAUCCCUUAAAGCCGGUCUCAGUUCGGAUCGGGGUCUGCAACUCGACCCCGUGAAGUUGGAGUCGCUAGUAAUCGCAGAUC
RNAcentral lists this ribosomal RNA (1244 nucleotides) under Nocardia ignorata. RNAcentral describes it as "bacterial SSU rRNA". It matches the Rfam family "Bacterial small subunit ribosomal RNA", at positions 92 to 1350 of the family's 1533-position model. Lineage: Bacteria; Bacillati; Actinomycetota; Actinomycetes; Mycobacteriales; Nocardiaceae. The record is from RNAcentral.